RNAcentral lists this small RNA (4244 nucleotides) under Pan troglodytes (chimpanzee). Its description in RNAcentral is "retained intron". Lineage: Eukaryota; Metazoa; Chordata; Mammalia; Primates; Hominidae. The record is from RNAcentral.
GAGGAUGCUGAGGUGACCAAAGCUUUUGAAGAAGAUAUAGAGACCCCACCAACAAGAAACAUUCCUUCUCCCGGACAGCUGGACCCAGACACACGGAUCCCUGUUAUCAAUCUUGAAGAUGGGACUAGGCUGGUGGGGGAAGAUGCUCCUAAAAAUAAGGAUUUAGUUGAAUGGCUGAAGCUGCACCCUACUUACACUGUUGAUAUGCCAAGUUAUGUACCAGUGAGUAUUGCAGAGUUUAGAGUUGGAAGGAAUCUUGCAGGCCGGUCCACUUCAUUCCCUUACAACACAGAAAUCCCUGACAGCUGGUCCCUCUGCCUUUUCCUUGAAUGUUUCCUGGUCUCAAACAUUUCCCAGGUCUUUGUUGUUGAAUCUUCUUCAUUGCAGAUACUAGCUUCAGGUCUGUCUUACUGAAGGCAGCCUUACAGUUAUUUGAAGAUGCGCGUUAUGCAUUUCCUUACUGUUUGCUUCUCCCAUCAAACUCAUGUGACUUCUUCAGUUAUUCUUUCCACGGCAUCGUUUCCAGGCAGUCUUAGUAUUGGGGUAACACUGUUGAAUGCACUUUCUCCAGUCUCCAGACGAGGCCCCGCCAUCCCAGAGUGCUAUGAAGCCAUUACUUCCAGAGAUUUGACCAGUUAGUGCAGCCCAAGAUUGUAUUAGCUGCUUUUAUGGCAACUAAUCCUGGUGCCUUAUAUUAAACGUUAGACAGUUCAUAUCUCCAAAUGGUUUGUCACACGAACUGUUUGCUAGCUAGCAAUGCAAGUCUUUUCCUUUCUAUAUUUAUGUGAUUGAUUUUUUAAAACUUAAAUGUAGAGUUUUACAUUUUAUUUUGUUGGGUUCAGCCUAGAGUUCUUGCCACUCAGAAUGUACCCCCACCCCCUACAAGAUCUGUCUGUUUGUUGGUUAGUUCUCAUUACAGACAGUCUCAUGUUGUUGAUGGGGUAUCAUCUCUGUGUUCAUUGGAGCCACUAACUAGAAAUUAGUAAAAGUACUACAGAAAGCCUCCUUUAAAAGUAUCAUGACUUGGUUAAACAUUUAAAGAAAAACUUUAAGUGAGGUUAUUGAUAGACAAAAGGAAAAGCCAAUUCUCACUUAUGUAUUCCUUAAUGGACGGGUAAAAUAGGAGUUUUUUCUUUCAAAGAGAAAAAUAUGGUUUCUAAUAUUAAUAAUUAAAAUGAUUCUUGAAACUUCCAUAAUAAUUGAAGAUGAUCUGACAGUUCUCUUUGGCAUUUAUAUAGAGAAGAAUAAGUACUAAAUACCAGUUUUACUAAAUAUGUUUUUUCUUUUGCAGAAGAAUGCAGAUGUGCUGUUUUCCUCAUUUCAGAAACCGAAACAGAAACGACAUAGAUGUCGAAACCCUAAUAAAUUGGAUAUAAACACUUUGACAGGAGAAGAAAGGGUGCCUGUUGUCAAUAAACGAAAUGGGAAGAAGGUAAACGCUGGGAAAGGGAAUUGAUCACUAUGCGAUUUCUUAGCCCAGAAGGAAGUGUUUUAUCCUGCCUUCUUCUAUAGGGGAAAAGAAUCCUGUCUGCCCGGAUGUGUGUGUGCGUGUAUGUGUGUAUUAUAGAAGGGGGAGGGAGUAGAUUAACAGAAAGGGGAGGGAAGACUGUGUUUUUAAUCAUUUGUCAAAUGCCUCUACCCAGAUGGGUGGAGCUAUGGCGCCUCCAAUGAAGGAUCUACCCAGGUGGCUGGAAGAAAAUCCUGAAUUUGCAGUUGCUCCAGACUGGACUGAUAUAGUUAAGCAGUCUGUAAGUACAAAGUGCAUUUCUAUCAAGAAAGGUAGCUAUACAAAACUGUUUUCCUUAGUCUUUCUUAUUUUCUGUUGGCCAUUAAUUAUUCAGUUGUAACUUAGCUUAAAAGAAUUGACAUAAUACAUCAUUUUCAUACAUCAUUUCAUACAUCAUUAAUACAUCAUUUCUUACAUCAAUACAUCAUUAAUCCAAAGUGAAUUCAUUUAUCAGCUCCAAUUUAAAAGGUUUGUAUGGAAACAUACAUUCACAAUCUUAGAGGUAGACUUCUCCAGGGGGGAUUGCCCCAGCUAAGCCUACUUAACAGCUCACCUGUGGAAUAGGAUGUAUGGUGGUUGAGAUCAUUAAGAUUAACUGUGAUUUCUGAUAUAAAAAAACCAAAACAAAACAAAACAAAAAUACAACAGUUCUGCCUAAAAGAUUUGUUACCAUUAGCUUUUUAAAAAUUCGUUCAUGACAUGCUGGUUCUUUGUUUUAAUUAUACAUUAAAAAUGUCUUUCGGUGUAACAUUCUGUUGAUCUUAACACACGUGUGAGUUUGUGAACUGACACCGUAGUCAGAAUAGGGUUCCAUCCCCCACCCCCACCACCCCGAGUUCCCUCACACCGUCCUUUCCCCGACCGCAGCCCCUGGCUGCCGCUGACCUGUUGUCCAUCCCUGUCUUUUUGAGAAUGUCCUGAAAUGGAAGCAUGAAGGACAUAAGUCUUGAAGCAGUUUCUUUCGCUCAUCAUAUGGAAGGUCAUCGAUGGUCGCAUGUGUCACAGUUAUCUCCUUUCUGUUGCCAAGUAGCUGUCUCCAUUGCAUAGAUGUGACACUGCAUGGCUUAGCCCUCACACACUGAAGGACAUCUGGGUUAUUUCCUGAUUUUUGAAACUAUGAUUAGAGCUGCUAUAAGCAAUUGUGUACAGGUUUUGGUGUGAACAUAAGUUUUCAUUUUUCUAGGGUAGAUACUAAAAUAUAAUUACAUUUUCCAUAUUUCAAAAAUACUUUUACAUAUAUUUGAAAUAUCCAAAAUAACACAUUAUAGAGGGCAUAAAACAUCCUGGGUUUAUAUUAUGUUAUACUAUUUUAUAAUUUUUCUCCCAUACAAUAUCUUUUUUUCUUUUUUUUUUUUUUUUUUUUUUUUUGAGACAAGGUGUUUGUCACCCAGGCUGGAGUGCAGUGGUGAAAUCACAGCUCACUACAGCCUCAUUCUCCUAGGCUCAAGCAAUCCUCCCACCUCAGCCUCCCAAGCAGCUGGCACUACAGGCACACAUCACCAAGCUUGGCUAGUUUUUGUAAUUUUUGUAGAGAAGGCAUUUUGCCACGUUGCCCAGGCUGGUCUCAAACUCACCUCAAGCAAUCUGCCUGCCCUGACCUCCCAAAGUGCUGAGAUUACAGGUGUGAGCCACUGUGCCCAGCCAAAAAUUUUUUUUAAUUGACAGAUAUUUAAUUGACAAAAAUUAAUUGAUGAAUAAAAUAUAUAUGCAAGGUGUACAGCACGGUGUUUUCUUCUUUUAAGAGACAGGGUCUUGCUGUGUCACCCAGGCUGGAGUGCAAUGGUGCAAUCAUAGCUCACUGCAGCCUCAAACUCCUGGGCUCAAGCAGUCCUCCCACCUCAGCCUCCUGAUUAGCCAAGUAGCUGGGAUGACAAGCAUAUGCCACCACACCUGGAUAAUUUUUUUUUAUUUUCUAGAGAUAGGGUCUUGCUAUGUGCCCCGGGCUGGUCUCAGACUCCUGGGCUCAAGAAAUCCUCUAGUCUUGGCCUCCCAAAGUGUUGGGAUUACAAGCAUGAACCACGGCACCUGGCUUCAAAGUGAUGAUUUGAUAUAAUUAUACAUUAUGUACUUUCCUUUUAAAAAAUUUGUUAUGGGUACAUAGUAGGUGUAUAUAUAGGGUACAUGAGAUAUUUUGUACAAGCACACAGUGCAUAAUAAUCACGUUGGGUAGAUGAGGUAUGCAUCACCUCAAGCAUUUACCCUUUGUAUUACAAACAAUGUGAUUAUACUCUUUUAGUUAUUUUAAAAUAUACAAUAAAUUAUUGUUGACUGUGUAGUCACCCUGUUGUGUUAUCAAAAACUAGAUCUUACUCAUCCUGUCUAACUCUAUUUUUGUACCCCAUAAUGUACUUUCUGAUGUAUGAUUUCUUGAGUUAGUUAUGGAUGCAGCUAACUUGACAUUUACCUCACUGAUGAGUAGCCUUGAGCAAUUUUUCUGCAGUUCAGCAAGCUAACAUAAUAAUAAAAACAAGUUUUGCUGUCAUUAAGUUUUAUCAUUGAGCUGUUAGGAGGGAAGAACUACUUAGGUAUUUCCAUUUGGAAUGGCAGGUUCACCACAGAGGCUCACAUUGAGAUCAAGUUGUCUUCGACAGCCUUUAUAGCCAUUGUUUGCCUCCCCUGUCCUCCAGGGUUUUGUUCCUGAGUCGAUGUUUGACCGCCUUCUCACUGGGCCUGUAGUGCGGGGAGAGGGAGCGAGCAGAAGAGGAAGAAGGCCCAAAAGUGAGAUCGCCAGAGCAGC